GACGAACGCUGGCGGCGUGCUUAACACAUGCAAGUCGAACGAAGUGGCGAACGGGUGAGUAAUACGUGAGUAACCUGCCCUCCUUUUUGGGAUAAGCCUUGGAAAAGGGGUAUGAUACCGAAUAAAUGGGGAUGGGCUCGCGGCCUAUCAGCUUGUUGGUGGGGUGAUGGCCUACCGAGGGGGUGACGGGUAGCCGGCCUGAGAGGGGUACCGGGCACAUUGGGAAGGAGCUACGGCCCAGAGUGGUACGGGAGGCGGCAGUUGUGGAUAUGGCACAAUGGGCGGAGGCCUGAUGCGGCGACGCCGCGUGCGGGAUGCAGGAUUUCGGGUUCUAAACCUCUUUCGGUAUCGAACGGGUAGGUGGAAACGAAGCGCCGGCUAACUACGUGCCAGCAGCCGCGGUAAUAC
Molecule: ribosomal RNA, 408 nt
Filed under: uncultured bacterium
Lineage: Bacteria
Description: partial 16S ribosomal RNA
Rfam family: Bacterial small subunit ribosomal RNA
Source: RNAcentral